This 834-nucleotide long non-coding RNA is filed under the name Homo sapiens (human). RNAcentral's name for it is "HSALNT0104054". Lineage: Eukaryota; Metazoa; Chordata; Mammalia; Primates; Hominidae. The record is from RNAcentral.
UUCACUGUCACCCAGGCUGGAGUGCAGUAGUGUGAUCUCGACUCACUGCAACCUGCGCAUCCUGGCUCAAGCAAUCCUCCUGCCUCAUACCCCAAGUAGCUGUGACUACAGGCCCGAGCUGCCAUGCCUGGCUAAUGUUUGUAUUUUUCGCAUAGACACGGUUUCACCAUGUUGCCCAGGCUGGCCUUGAACUCCUGAGGUCAAGCAAUCAGCCCGCCUUGGCCUCCCAAAGUGCUGGGAUUACAGGCAUGAGUCACCACACCCGGCUGGCCUUUUCUUUAAAGCUUUUCAGCUGUAACGUCUGAGUCUUUUAAAUCUCUCCUCAUAUGGGGGAGUUGGUCCAGAGAUGGAGAGCCAGAAUAAGACCAAAGUUAAAGUAUGAGAAAUAGUGUAGUGGUGUCCUGAGAUGGACAGCCUGAGAGGAAUGGGGAAGGGGCAGAGAGUGGCCUGGCAGUGGCUCUGACCUGAAGCUGAUAGGCCAGGUCAGCCUGUGCUCGGCGGGUGUUGACCUCGAUGUCAUAGGCGGCCUUCUUCAGUUCGUAAUCUCUCUGUGCCUUGGCCAUCUCGAUCUCACUCAGGUACUGAGCAGACACCUUUUCCUGCUUGGCUUUAGCUUCCUGUCCAAGCAGAGAUCAGCAUCUCUCUUGGCCUCUGCUUCUCCAAUCCGUGCAUCUUUUUGGACUUGAGCUGUUCGAGCCUUCCCCAAAGAGUGCAAAUAGUCCUGUGGGAGAGAUGUAGAAAUUAGUCCUUUGGAGGGCUUAAGAGAUGGGAGCAAGGAAGUGGGGAAGGAUCAAUUGCCUAGUUUUACCUGGUCAUCGUGAAUGUCCUUCAGAG